GCAACGCCGCGUGAACGAAGAAGUCCUUCGGGAUGUAAAGUUCUUUUAAAUGGGAAGAAGAAAGUGACGGUACCAUAGGAAUAAGCCCCGGCUAACUACGUGCCAGCAGCCGCGGUAAGACGUAGGGGGCAAGCGUUACCCGGAAUCACUGGGCGUAAAGGGAGCGUAGGCGGCCUUUCAGGUUGUAUGUUAAAGACGACGGCUUAACCGGAGAAAUGCAUACAAAACCGAAAGGCUUGAGGAUAUCAGAGGAAAAGGGAAUUACCAUUGUAGGGGUGAAAUCCGUAGAGAGUGGUAAGAAUGCCGGUGGCGAAGGCGCUUUUCCGGGGUAUACCUGACGCUGAGGCUCGAAAGCUAGGGGAGCGAACCGGAUUAGAUACCCUGGUAGUCCACGCCGUAAACGUUGAACACUAGGUGUGGCGAGUUAAUCCAUACUUGCCGUGCCGCAGCUAACGCAUUAAGUGUUCCGCCUGGGGAGUACGGCCGCAAGGCUAAAACUCAAAGGAAUUGACGGGGCCCCGCACAAGCGGCGGAGCAUGCGGCUUAAUUCGAUGCAACCCGAAGAACCUUACCUGGGCUUGACAUUAUGGGUCUAUCCCUAGAGAUAGGGAGUGCUUAUGCGCCCAUAACAGGUGGUGCAUGGCUGUCGUCAGCUCGUGUCGUGAGAUGUUGGGUUAAGUCCCGCAACGAGCGCAACCCU
Molecule: ribosomal RNA, 700 nt
Filed under: uncultured bacterium
Lineage: Bacteria
Description: bacterial SSU rRNA
Rfam family: Bacterial small subunit ribosomal RNA
Source: RNAcentral